UUCUCAGAGAAAGAAAAGGUGAUGCAGCAGACGCUGGGAUUGGAGAAAUUACCAGAGUGAAGUGGAAAUAGUCUGGCCAGCGUGACUUAAACCGGCCCGGAGAUGUGCAAGUACCAGUGGAACCGCCUGGGGUCGGGAUAGGACCCAGAGUGGCUUCUCAGUCAAAGGCCUUCAGAAGCAGAGGGAACAUCUUGAGUGACUUUACCCGGGCCGCGAAAGACAAGAAACCUUUGGCACGGGAAGAGGAACCGAUCUCUGGAAGUCACCAGGGCGGGUGGAAGGUCAGGGGUUCAAGGUUAUUUUGGAAUUUAGGUGCUGUGGUUCCUGCACGGUGGCUCAUGCUUGUCAUUCCAGUGCAUUGGGAGGCCAAGGCAGGAGGAUCGCUUGAGCCCAGGAGUUCCAGAGCAGCCUGGACAACAUAGUGAGACUCUGUGUCUACAAAAAAAAAAAAAAAAAAAAAAAAAAAACACGAAAGAAAAACACAUUAAGAUGCUGUAUGUAUUGGAAAAUAUUUAUGGGUCAUUCUUUUGAGCUUCAUGUCCAAAAGCUUGCUAAAAUGCUUGGGAGUUUGUGUACAGGCAUGUGAGAUUAGGAUACAUUGGCAGAAUCGCGGUGUUCUCUGUUAUCCUGGUUUUGCCACCCGGGAGGAGUUACACAUAUUGAAGGUUAGUAAGUCCACGCCUCUUCUCUUCUGGGGAAAAAGGUACUUUGGAAACCAAUAUUAUGUGGGAACGUGGCUUGGUUGGUACAGCCUUGGCUUAAUGGGAGACAGCUGCCCUCAGCUCUGCAGGUGGCAUCAAAUACGGUGGCCUCGAGCCCACAUGGGUCACACCUGGGCUGUCCCUGGGGAAGCCCGCCACGGCGGGUCACCUGGGCAUUCUUUCCCUGGCAGAGCCGAAGUCACAAUUUUUUUGUAGACUCUAAAGAGCUUUACCCUUCCGAGAUAUGAUCUUGAAUCUUUUGGAGCAUUAGGACGCAUUUCUUUUAAGGAAGUUCACCUCCAGAUGUGCUCAGACGGCCUGGUCUUAGCUGCCACAGAUUUACAAAUUCUUACAAACCCAAGGAUUGAGAACAAUGGACUUUUUGAUGUGUGUUGCAACAAACUCAUAGCCGAGGGCUGUAAAUCGGAGGGAUCACCAGGUCUGCCUACCAGCCACCAGGCAAGUGGGGAGAAGCUGUCACCCCAACUUGAGUUUCAAGAAGACUCCUUGGAAGAAAAGACCACCAAAUUGAGAAUGAAAAGAUCAUACACGGGGGUCGUCAGACAUGGUCUGAGACCUGCUGGGAAGAACAGCAGCCUGGCGCUGCUACCCUCUGGCUUCUGUUCACAGCACUGACCCCAGCUAAUCCAAGAACAUGUCACCUAUAAUGCGAAUAUUGAAGAAAAAUCAACCAUCUUCCAGAUGUGUCUAUAUCAUGAUACGGUACAUGGGUAAGGUAAGCUGAACACAACAUAAAAAAAGAAAACUUACAAACGCUCCCUUCGUCUCAUUAAAGAUGACUCCUUUAAAGAUGAAGGGCAUCUGGGGGUCGCUGGGGUUCUCAUAUUCCAGCCGCCAUCUUUCCUGCCUGAGGACAAAUAAUUAUAAGCUGACAGUGACUCAAAUACUAAAGUCUGUAUCAACUAGUUAAUCACUCAUGACAUACCAGAAAUCCAGCUCACGUAAACCUGGGGAAAAGGUCUCAUCCAAAUACACUGAGAGGAGAUUCUGAAAGUCCUUGGGAUUUUGUGUGGAAAAUGGAUACAGAGUAUAAUCACUAGCUGGGUACAAAUGAAAAGUGAAAUUGUAAAAUUAAACAGAUUUCUACUAAAAUUAUUGAAUC
RNAcentral lists this long non-coding RNA (1824 nucleotides) under Macaca mulatta (Rhesus monkey). Its description in RNAcentral is "lncRNA (ENSMMUG00000051990.1)". Lineage: Eukaryota; Metazoa; Chordata; Mammalia; Primates; Cercopithecidae. The record is from RNAcentral.